UACGUAGGGUGCGAGCGUUAAUCGGAAUUACUGGGCGUAAAGCGUGCGCAGGCGGUUGGUUAAGUCUGAUGUGAAAGCCCCGGGCUCAACCUGGGAAUGGCAUUGGAAACUGGCUGGCUAGAGUGUGGCAGAGGGGGGUGGAAUUCCGCGUGUAGCAGUGAAAUGCGUAGAGAUGCGGAGGAACACCGAUGGCGAAGGCAGCCCCCUGGGCUGACACUGACGCUCAGGCACGAAAGCGUGGGGAGCAAA
RNAcentral lists this ribosomal RNA (249 nucleotides) under uncultured bacterium. RNAcentral's name for it is "partial 16S ribosomal RNA". It matches the Rfam family "Bacterial small subunit ribosomal RNA", at positions 524 to 772 of the family's 1533-position model. The record is from RNAcentral.